Molecule: ribosomal RNA, 164 nt
Filed under: uncultured bacterium
Lineage: Bacteria
Description: partial 16S ribosomal RNA
Rfam family: Bacterial small subunit ribosomal RNA
Source: RNAcentral
UAGGGAAUCUUCCACAAUGGGCGAAAGCCUGAUGGAGCAACGCCGCGUGUGUGAUGAAGGGUUUCGGCUCGUAAAACAUUGUUGUAAGAGAAGAAUGACAUUGAGAGUAACUGUUCAAUGUGUGACGGUAUCUUACCAGAAAGGAACGGCUAAAUACGUGCCCG